AUCAAUGUUGUUCCCUUACAAUUAAAUAUCUCCAUAAAUAGCAAAAAGACUAAUUCUAUAUCAAGCUCCUCUGAAGAAUGAAUUAUAAGAUCUAAAAAGAGUGAAAGAAUUAAUAUAAAUCAGUUGUCUGCAUACUUUUGUUAUCUAAGCCUUUAACUUUAACAUCGGAGUAAAUAGCAAAGAGAGAAGGCAGACCAUCAUUGCAAGGUUUUUCAAAGACUCUAGCAGUAAGUGAAAGACAUACAUAUAUCUACCAAUUUAUUAGCUGAAUUUCUAGUAAUUUUCACAAUUAAAUGUAAAACUCCAUUUGGUUCAACAUCACACUGAUAUCAUCAGUAUAGCCCCAUGAAAUGGAGAUAUCAGCAAGCUUUCUAAGGUCAUCAAUGGUUCUAGCUUAUCCACUCCUAUGCACAAUGGUCGAGCAAUAUCUAUAGUUUCCUGACUACCAAACUAACCAAAUAAAUAAAAAUGAAAUCAUUCAGAUAUUAACAACCAUUGAUAUAUUUUUUAAAUAGUAUUUUGAAAUAAAAGUACAUUGUCAUGAUCAAAUUGCAAAAACAGAGCAUUAUAGAUAUGAGAAACCUCCUCAGGCUCUGGUUUUAUAUCUAUUCCAAAAUGAGUCUCGAAUAGCAAACGAUUUUCUAUUGAGAGUUGAAUGCUUCUUCGUCCUUGACGAAGUUGAUAAUGAUGGUGACACUGUCUAAAAAAAAUCAAUUGAUGUUACAAAUGAUGACAAAGAAUGGUAAGGAAGCUUGGAUGAUGUCUGCUGGGCUUAGUAAUGGGGGCAGCGAGGAAAUAAAAGUAAGAGGGAAAUUAGGCUCUGGUAGAAUUAAGAGAGAGGGAGAUGGAGGACCCCUCUUACAAUAAUGAUUUUGUCUUUUAUAACAUAUUUAACGGAAAGGUAUAAAAUUUAGAUGAAAAGGCAUUACAACUUGAAGGAAGCAAAAUAUAGGGAAAAAGUUGUGUAUUUUUAAAAAUUCGAGGGUAAACUAAUUAUUUUUUAUAAAAUAGAAGGAUAAAAUCGUAAUUUUCCUUGAAAAUAAUUUAUUAGAUUUGUUUAUAUUUGGUAUGUACAUACAACAUACAAAAUAGUCUAUAAAUUGACUAAAUCAAAAAAUGUUUUUGACUUCCCAUAGGCAAAUAAAUAUUCCUAAUCCAUAAAAUUGCAAAUACCAGAAUCUUUUUGUUGUGGAAAAGUCCAUCAAAAUUUUUCAUUUUGCUUUGCUCAAAUAAAGAUGAAAAUGUAAAAGUGGGAGAAAUUAUUAAUUUUAUAUGGAAUGGAAGGUUUGAAAAAUUAAAUUCUACUAAAUUUUGUAAUAUAUUACUAUAUUAUUAUAUUAGCAAAAAUUUAUUAGAAGUAAUAUUAUAUGAAUAUAAUGCAAAUAAUGGAAUUGAAAAUAAAAUGUAGCAAACCAAAUCGAAAAGCAACCAUGAUAGACAAAAAAAUAGAUAACAAAAUGUCGAGGAUAAUGUGUUAUUUUGAAGAAUAAUCAAGUUAAACUAACCUCCAUAUCAAGCCAACAUACUUACAGAAAGGUCUACUUCAGCUUGGGGUCGUUUUGAAACAAUUUUCUUCAGGAAAAUGUUUGCUCGAGAAAAAAACCUCACACCAAGUGUCAACGCGGUUCUUGUUGACCCAAUCACAAAGGUAUGUUCCACGCUCAUCGCACCAUUUGACCAUUAGAUAUUCUCAAAAAUGACAAUAUGCUUUUUGCCAAUAUUUUGAGAGGAUAAUAGUUUUUUUUAGAGAGAAGAGAUGAUUAUAAUUGUAUAUGUCUUGG
Molecule: long non-coding RNA, 1781 nt
Filed under: Jatropha curcas
Lineage: Eukaryota; Viridiplantae; Streptophyta; Magnoliopsida; Malpighiales; Euphorbiaceae
Description: long non-coding RNA (JCUR_LNC003059)
Source: RNAcentral